GCUUGUUGCUGACGUUGUGGCUGCAAAGCCGAAAAAAAGCAAAAAUAACUUCAACUCUACUAAUUUUUCUUAUCUUGGUUUCCUGAUUUGAAGAAGCAUGUGGUCUCAACUAAAUCAAAAAUGCUCUGCGCCUGGUGUGAUUACCUCUAACUUGCCAAGUUCUAUGCUGAAUUUAAAGUCAUAAUGUUCCUACCUAACUUGGAUGUCUCUUUAUUGAGUAGUUUUGACUCAAAUUCAGUGUUCAACUUGCUAAUCAACCCCUCUGCUGCUGAUCUACUUGUGAUACACAUUUUUAUUUAUUGAGGAAAUCUCUGUCCUUUCCAUUUUUUUGUCUUAACAGUAGAUAUUUGUGAGCGAGACUGAAAUGAAAUGUGCCGAGUAAAAAUGAUAAUGCGUUGACAACUUGUAUGUAAAUGUUUAAAACGUUUCCUGUCUUACAAAAUAUAACACUGGAAGACCGAGAUUACUUUAUAAAUUGAUAACUGAAUUGUAUUUUUGUGUUAAUGAUACUAUUGAGAACACUCACUUAAGUUUAAUAGUUACUUAAGUUUCUUUAUUUUUAUUUAAGUUGUAUUGUUUUUAAGCAUUUGUUGGCACGUUUACCUCUGUGCUUUACACAUAUCAGCUGUUUUCCAACUUGAAGCAACAUUUACUUAACAUUCACUCUGCACUCUGACACGCAUGUUCAGUGUGUGAGUGCAUCGGGUCAAUACACUCGCACACUGACCGUAAUGAAUAUUGCUGCAUUCAUGUCAUAUGGCACUAUGCAAUCUCAGAUUUCCAGUGUGAUUUAUUAAGUGGCAUGCAACAGACAAAAUACAAUAGUUUUGUGACAUGGCAUUUUGUGAUUGAGGAGGAUAAAGCUAUUAUUCCUUUUUUGUUUGGAGGUUUACCUUUUAUUGAUCGACCGAUGUUUUUAGAUUUAUUGUAGAGACAGACAAGAAUCAUGAAGAAAGAGAAGGAAAAUAACAUUCAACAAGAGUUCCUGAGCAGAACUGAACCAGGGACGCUGUAAUUACACGGUAUAUGUGUUGACCACUAGGCUACAAGGACUCACCAGAAGAACUUAAAGGAACCCUUUUGGCUACAACGUAGCAUUUACUCUGCUACCACCCAGGCUAGAUGUGACAUUUUUUUAAGGAUAAGAAUCUAAGUAGUUUAUUCAUUUUUCAUCCAUCCGACCAUUUUAUUUUCUGGUGCAUUACAGCUUCAGUUUGAUUUAAGCUGCUGAUAGAUGUUUUUUAUAUAAGGUGCAUUGUGCUAGUGUUAAAUUCGUCUUGGUAUUAUUUUUAUACCAAUAAUUGUAAAUAUUUUUUUCUCUUGUUACAGUGAAAAGCCUUCAAAACAAACGCUGUAGCUUGACAACGUAGGAGGAGGGUCAAGGGUCUGAGGAUUUUUUUAUGUAAUUUUGGGCUGUAAAGAUAAAGUUGACUUGAAUUUGACUUCAUGCUGAAACUGAAACUAGGCUAUGAACUCUCUGGGAUGUGUUAGGCUUUUAAAUAA
Molecule: long non-coding RNA, 1503 nt
Organism: Sander lucioperca (pikeperch)
Lineage: Eukaryota; Metazoa; Chordata; Actinopteri; Perciformes; Percidae
Exons: 2
Source: RefSeq, a predicted model, not a curated record